RNAcentral lists this ribosomal RNA (429 nucleotides) under Actinomycetes bacterium. RNAcentral describes it as "Actinobacteria bacterium partial 16S ribosomal RNA". It matches the Rfam family "Bacterial small subunit ribosomal RNA", at positions 355 to 776 of the family's 1533-position model. Lineage: Bacteria; Bacillati; Actinomycetota; Actinomycetes. The record is from RNAcentral.
UAGGGAAUCUUCCGCAAUGGGCGAAAGCCUGACGGAGCAACGCCGCGUGAGUGAAGAAGGUCUUCGGAUCGUAAAACUCUGUUAUUAGGGAAGAACAAAUGUGUAAGUAACUAUGCACGUCUUGACGGUACCUAAUCAGAAAGCCACGGCUAACUACGUGCCAGCAGCCGCGGUAAUACGUAGGUGGCAAGCGUUAUCCGGAAUUAUUGGGCGUAAAGCGCGCGUAGGCGGUUUUUUAAGUCUGAUGUGAAAGCCCACGGCUCAACCGUGGAGGGUCAUUGGAAACUGGAAAACUCGAGGGAAGAAGAGGAAAGUGGAAUUCCAUGUGUAGCGGUGAAAUGCACAGAGAUAUGGAGGAACACCAGUGGCGAAGGCGACUUUCUGGUCUGUAACUGAAGCUGAUGUGCGAAAGCGUGGGGAUCAAACAGG